AUUGAACGCUGGCGGCAGGCCUAACACAUGCAAGUCGAGCGAGCGGCGGACGGGUGAGUAAUGUCUGGGAAACUGCCCGAUGGAGGGGGAUAACUACUGGAAACGGAAGCUAAUACCGCAUACCAUCAGAUGUGCCCAGAUGGGAUUAGCUAGUAGGUGGGGUAACGGCGCACCAAGGCGACGAUCCCUAGCUGGUCUGAGAGGAUGAACAGCCACACGGGAACUGGUACACGGUCCAGACUCCUACGGGAGGCAGCAGUGGGGAAUAUUGCACAAUGGGCGCAAGCCUGAUGCAGCCAUGCCGCGCGUAUGAAGAGGGCCUUCGGGUUGUAAAGUACUUUCUGCGGGGAGGCGUUACCCGCAGAAGAAGCACCGGCUAACUCCGUGCCAGCAGCCGCGGUAAUUC
RNAcentral lists this ribosomal RNA (406 nucleotides) under uncultured bacterium. RNAcentral's name for it is "partial 16S ribosomal RNA". It matches the Rfam family "Bacterial small subunit ribosomal RNA", at positions 29 to 526 of the family's 1533-position model. The record is from RNAcentral.